Molecule: long non-coding RNA, 625 nt
Filed under: Nicotiana tabacum (common tobacco)
Lineage: Eukaryota; Viridiplantae; Streptophyta; Magnoliopsida; Solanales; Solanaceae
Description: long non-coding RNA (NTAB_LNC007605)
Source: RNAcentral
CCGAUAACCACUCCGGCACGUCCACCUUCUGCUGAUGAAAGGAGUUUUUUCUAGUUAAUUCACUGAGAAAGUCGAAAAGUGAACACAUUCUCAGUUCCCAUCAUCAACAUCAAAAAGAGGAAUAUAACUCUCUCCUAAGCAGGAGCGAUAAACAAGCAUCAACCCUCUCUCAAACAAAGGUCAACCCAAACCCCCAAACUUUCCCCAAAAAGAAAUGCAGCAACAACCAACCCCCACCCCCACCCCCACCUCCGAUUCCGAUCUCCCCCGCCUCGCUAACAUCAAAAUCAAAUCCUCUUCCCCCCGUUUCCCACCUCCCACCACCCCUUCCACCACCGAUACCCCCACCGCUGGUGCUCAACGCAAGAUCGGCAUCGCCGUCGAUCUAAGCGACGAGUCCGCUUUCGCCGUUAAGUGGGCCGUCCAUCAGUACCUCCGUCCAGGUGACGCCGUCAUCCUUCUCCACGUCCGUCCCACUUCCGUCCUCUACGGCGCCGAUUGGGGCUCCGUUGAUCUCUCCAUCGUCGAUACCGAAAACGAAGAGUCUCAGCGAAAACUCGAGGAUGAUUUCGACACGUUUACUACUACUAAAGUCUCGGACAUAUCUCAGCCGUUAGUUGAUGCU